This is a long non-coding RNA of Setaria italica (foxtail millet), 2901 nucleotides long. RefSeq lists it as uncharacterized. The transcript has 2 exons. The record is from RefSeq and is a predicted model, not a curated record. Lineage: Eukaryota; Viridiplantae; Streptophyta; Magnoliopsida; Poales; Poaceae.
UCCAUAAGAUCGAUCGGAGAGACGGCCAGGCAACGUCGUAUUCGUCCCGGGAGCAGCGACAGUGAAUCGACCUGGGGCCUGGGGCACGAUUCGUUCCGGCGACUUUUCUCCCCUCGAGCUCGAGUCAAGGACACUGCCGACCGGUGCUGCAGUGGAUAUCGGUUCUUGCUGGACCUACACAGCUUUCAGCCACCUACUGCAUUCUUUCAUUCAAAUCUAGCCAUUGCCAGGUUCGUAUCACUAACAAUUUCAAGGUUGCAAUGCACCUUUGAUCACUUCAAUUUUCAAUACUGGUAUCUACUAGGUAGGUUGGUGUAUACACUAUAGCCAAGUCAAUCUGAAUUCAGGCCACAGCCUCCAUCCAGCUCACCAAGGCGGAGCCGGAGGUUUCCGCGGUGGUGACGCGGCCGCGCCAAACCCACCGAUCCGGUCCCCGAGUCCGCGUCCCGGUCCCGGCCAGCCGCCAGCCUGCUCGCCCGCCCGCUCGCUCGCCCAGUCAACGGCUUGACUGCGCCAGCCACGCCUGCUGCCUUCAGCCUUCCGCUUAAGAACAUGCUCCGGACCGGUGUCCUCUCCUCCCAUCCCCACCUCCGGGUCGAUUCGACCAGCCGGAGAAACUUCCAAGGCCGCCGCCGCCUUUGAUCGACGGACCCCCCCUUUCCUCCCUCCCCGCCCUUGUCCGUGCGGCGGCGCCGGAGCCGGAAGCUCCCCGGCGAGCCCGCCUAAGUUACUCGCUGCGGCGGGCUUUUUGCGUGGGUAUUCGGCGGCUGCGGCUCCCGGUUCGCGCGGCGGGGGAGGUUGCGCUUCGGCGGUUGCAUCCACCACCUCUCUACCUCGCCGCUGUGCUCCAGGUGAAGCCAUUUUUGCAGCGGGUCUAUUGCUAAGACGAAGAGGAGGGGUGAUAGCGGGUUCCCUUGGCGGAGCCCUCGGCCAUGCUGAAUGUUCUCUCCCGGUGCGCCAUUCAUGAGAACCUUGGAUGUGGCAGUGCUUAGUAAAGUCAUGACCCAGCUUCUCCAUCUCGAGGGGAAACCUCAGCGAUGCAUAAGGUCUAACAGGUAGUCCCAGCGCACGGAGUCGAAAGCCUUGGAUAUGUCUAGCUUUAGCAUGAGAGACGGGAUUCUAGAUGAGUGGAACCGCCGAGCGAGGCUUCUUACAUACGUGAAGUUGUCGUGUAUUGCUCUUGUUUUAAUGAAGGCGCUCUGGCUCUCCUAUAUCAACGUGUUCAUGAAUGGUUGCAGUCUUAGGGCCAUCAUCUUCGUUAUGAUUUUUGCUACAGCAUGGAUGAGGCUUAUUGGCCUGAAGUCCGUGAUAGAAUCACCUUCCUCCUUUUUGGGUAUUAGCACUAUGUUGGCCGAAUUGAGGAUAUCGAAUAAAUCAUGGUGAAGGCUGUGGAAAGCAUUGAUCAUGUUCAUCAGUUUUGCUCUAAUUAUGCCCCAACAUUUAUGGAAAAAGUUAAUUGUAAAACCGUCCGGUCCCGGAGCCUUAUCUUUGGGUAUGAGCUUGAGCGCCCUUUUGACUUUGUCCUCUGUGAAUUCCGCAUCUAGAGAGGAGAGAUCGAUGGACGGCCAAGAGAGAAGGUCCUAGUUGAAGUCAAUUUCUUGUCUCGGUGGUUGUCCUAAUACGUUGGCGAAGUGUGUUUGGGCGAUGUCAGCUUUGUCUUGUUGCGUUGUUACCCAACCAUUUUCUUUCUGAAGUUUGGUGAUGAAAUUCUUCCUUCUCCUAGAAUUAACCUUUAGGUGGAAGAAACGUGUGUUUGCAUCACCUAGCGAGAGGUUCGUUAUUCUAGAGCACUAUCUUUUACAUAGUCGUUCUAGAAUCGCAAGGCCCAUUAUCCUUUUCUUCAGUUUGGAACGUGGGGCUAACUCGUCGUCAGAUAGAGUUCGUGACUCUUGUGCGAUGUCUAGCUGGAGGAUGACCGAUUGCGCCAUAUGGAAUUGAAGCUUCGCUUUUGAGGAUAGUUUCUUGCUCCAUUUUCUCAAGGCCAGCGCCGUCCUGGCAAGCUUGAAGUUUAGACGAUGUGCUGGGUUUGUGUGGGUGUUUGUAGAGGACCAGGCAUCUUGAACCACUUGUUUGAAACCCGGCAUAGAGAGCCAAAAGUUCUCAAAUUUGAAAUAUCGUGGUCACGGUGGACUCUCUUGGUUGGAUAGUAGCAAUAGGCAGUGAUCAGAUAGCAAAGUGGAUAGGGCUUGCAGUACAUGGGACGAGAAGGUCAAGUCCCAGGCAUCGUUACAGAAGACUCGGUCAAGAUGAACUAAGAUUGGGUUGCAACGUUCAUUGCUCCAGGUGAACUUCCUAUUUUGUAGGUGACUUUCUUUGAGCUUGCAGGUGUUUCGAGUUUCUCGAAAACUUCACAUGCUGUUGAGGUUUAAGUUUGAGUCGUUCUUAUCUCUUGCUCUAUAGAUUAGGUUGAAGUCACCGAGAAUUAGCCAUUUGACGCCCUGUUGUGGUGCUGAACUUCUGAUUUCCUGUAGGAAGUUGAUUUAUUGUAGCCUCAUGUUGGGUCGUAUACUAUCAUUAGCAAGAAGAUGUUGCAGUCGCUUUUAUGUUCACAGUAGCGGACAGUGAGAAGACACGUUUCGUGAUGCAGUCUAGGUUCACCACGUCAUUGUUCCAUAGGAUCAGAAUGCCUCCCCGUGUACCUGAAAUUCCUCCCACCGGUAAAAAAGUGAAGCUACGUAGCCUGAACCCUCCCACGUCUAGAGUCAGCCACUCAUCAAUUGAUGACAUCUUUGUUUCCUGGAGACAAACGAUGUGGCAGGAGGAUGAAGCAAGUACUUGCUGCACGGUCGAUCGACGCGCUUCCGAAUUAUGUCCCCGAACAUUCCAACAUAAGAUAUCAAGAUCGUUAGCUGCCAUGCGAAAGAACCUUGAAGCUCUGCCGAUGUAAAGAAGCGCUAACAA